RNAcentral lists this ribosomal RNA (194 nucleotides) under uncultured bacterium. Its description in RNAcentral is "partial 16S ribosomal RNA". It matches the Rfam family "Bacterial small subunit ribosomal RNA", at positions 334 to 525 of the family's 1533-position model. The record is from RNAcentral.
GACUCCUACGGGAGGCAGCAGUGAGGAAUAUUGGUCAAUGGACGAGAGUCUGAACCAGCCAUGCCGCGUGCAGGAUGACUGCCCUAUGGGUUGUAAACUGCUUUUAUUGGGGAAUAAACCUUUCUACGUGUAGGAAGCUGAAGGUACUCAAUGAAUAAGCACCGGCUAACUCCGUGCCAGCAGCCGCGGUAAUA